ACGGGAGGCAGCAGUGGGGAAUAUUGGGCAAUGGGCGCAAGCCUGACCCAGCGACGCCGCGUGAGGGAAGAAGGUCUUCGGAUUGUAAACCUCUUUCAGCAGGGAAGAAGCAAGUGACGGUACCUGCAGAAGAAGUCACGGCUAACUACGUGCCAGCAGCCGCGGUAAUACGUAGGUGGCGAGCGUUAUCCGGAAUUACUGGGUGUAAAGGGUGUGUAGGCGGAGAAGCAAGUCAGGCGUGAAAUUUAUGGGCUCAACUCAUAAACUGCGCUUGAAACUGUUUCCCUUGAGAGUGGGAGAGGUAAACGGAAUUCCUGGUGUAGUAGUGAAAUGCGUAGAUAUCAGGAGGAACACCGGUGGCGAAGGCGGCUUACUGGACCACAACUGACGCUGAGACACGAAAGCGUGGGGAGCAAACAGGAUUAGAUACCCUGGUA
RNAcentral lists this ribosomal RNA (437 nucleotides) under uncultured Oscillospiraceae bacterium. Its description in RNAcentral is "partial 16S ribosomal RNA". It matches the Rfam family "Bacterial small subunit ribosomal RNA", at positions 341 to 792 of the family's 1533-position model. Lineage: Bacteria; Bacillati; Bacillota; Clostridia; Eubacteriales; Oscillospiraceae. The record is from RNAcentral.